AGUAAAAGUCGUAACAAGGUCUCCGUUGGUGAACCAGCGGAGGGAUCAUUACCGAGUUUACAACUCCCAAACCCCUGUGAACAUACCAAUUGUUGCCUCGGCGGAUCAGCCCGCUCCCGGUAAAACGGGACGGCCCGCCAGAGGACCCCUAAACUCUGUUUCUAUAUGUAACUUCUGAGUAAAACCAUAAAUAAAUCAAAACUUUCAACAACGGAUCUCUUGGUUCUGGCAUCGAUGAAGAACGCAGCAAAAUGCGAUAAGUAAUGUGAAUUGCAGAAUUCAGUGAAUCAUCGAAUCUUUGAACGCACAUUGCGCCCGCCAGUAUUCUGGCGGGCAUGCCUGUUCGAGCGUCAUUUCAACCCUCAAGCCCAGCUUGGUGUUGGGACUCGCGAGUCAGAUCGCGUUCCCCAAAUUGAUUGGCGGUCACGUCGAGCUUCCAUAGCGUAGUAGUAAAACCCUCGUUACUGGUAAUCGUCGCGGCCACGCCGUUAAACCCCAACUUCUGAAUGUUGACCUCGGAUCAGGUAGGAAUACCCG
Molecule: ribosomal RNA, 537 nt
Filed under: uncultured fungus
Lineage: Eukaryota; Fungi
Description: eukaryotic LSU rRNA
Rfam family: 5.8S ribosomal RNA (bases 200-353)
Source: RNAcentral